CCUACGGGAGGCAGCAGUAGGGAAUAUUGCUCAAUGGGGGAAACCCUGAAGCAGCAACGCCGCGUGGAGGAUGAAGGUUUUCGGAUUGUAAACUCCUUUUGUUAGAGAAGAUAAUGACGGUAUCUAACGAAUAAGCACCGGCUAACUCCGUGCCAGCAGCCGCGGUAAUACGGAGGGUGCAAGCGUUACUCGGAAUCACGGGGCGUAAAGCGCGCGUAGGCGGGAUAGCAAGUCAGAUGUGAAAUCCUAUGGCUUAACCAUAGAACUGCAUUUGAAACUGUUAUUCUAGAGUAUGGGAGAGGUAGGUGGACUUCUUGGUGUAGGGGUAAAAUCCGUAGAGAUCAAGAGGAAUACUCAUUGCGAAGGCGACCUGCUAGAACAUAACUGACGCUGAUGCGCGAAAGCGUGGGGAGCAAACAGGAUUAGAUACCCGGGUAGUC
This 440-nucleotide ribosomal RNA is filed under the name uncultured bacterium. Its description in RNAcentral is "partial 16S ribosomal RNA". It matches the Rfam family "Bacterial small subunit ribosomal RNA", at positions 338 to 795 of the family's 1533-position model. The record is from RNAcentral.